Molecule: ribosomal RNA, 253 nt
Filed under: uncultured bacterium
Lineage: Bacteria
Description: partial 16S ribosomal RNA
Rfam family: Bacterial small subunit ribosomal RNA
Source: RNAcentral
UACGUAGGCAGCAAGCGUUGUUCGGAGUUACUGGGCGUAAAGGGGGCGUAGGCGGCCUUAUAAGUAUGGUGUGAAAUCUCCCGGCUUAACUGGGAGGGUGCGCUAUAGACUGUGGGGCUAGAGUGUGGGAGAGGAAAGUGGAAUUCCUGGUGUAGCGGUGAAAUGCGUAGAUAUCAGGAGGAACACCGGUGGUGUAAACGGCUUUCUGGACCAUAACUGACGCUGAGGCACGAAAGCGUGGGGAGCAAACAGG